This 550-nucleotide ribosomal RNA is filed under the name uncultured bacterium. RNAcentral describes it as "bacterial SSU rRNA". It matches the Rfam family "Bacterial small subunit ribosomal RNA", at positions 355 to 896 of the family's 1533-position model. The record is from RNAcentral.
UAGGGAAUCUUCGGCAAUGGGGGGAACCCUGACCGAGCAACGCCGCGUGAGUGAAGAAGGUUUUCGGAUCGUAAAGCUCUGUUGUUAAGGAAGAACGAGUGUGAGAAUGGAAAGUUCAUACUGUGACGGUACUUAACCAAAAAGGGACGGCUAACUACGUGCCAGCAGCCGCGGUAAUACGUAGGUCCCGAGCGUUGUCCGGAUUUAUUGGGCGUAAAGCGAGCGCAGGCGGUUAGAAAAGUCUGAAGUGAAAGGCAGUGGCUCAACCAUUGUAGGCUUUGGAAACUGUUUAACUUGAGUGCAGAAGGGGAGAGUGGAAUUCCAUGUGUAGCGGUGAAAUGCGUAGAUAUAUGGAGGAACACCGGUGGCGAAAGCGGCUCUCUGGUCUGUAACUGACGCUGAGGCUCGAAAGCGUGGGGAGCGAACAGGAUUAGAUACCCUGGUAGUCCACGCCGUAAACGAUGAGUGCUAGGUGUUAGGUCCUUUCCGGGACUUAGUGCCGCAGCUAACGCAUUAAGCACUCCGCCUGGGGAGUACGACCGCAAGGUUG